GUAAUCCACUAGGCGCUGCCCGGCUGCGCUCACUCUCGGACGCAGAGACCCGCUCAUGUUGGUGAAGAAGCCGCGCCAGAACCGCGCGGCUGCAGUCACCUCGAGCAGGCCGGCUGCUCCUGGCAGGCGGUGUCGGCGCCGGCGGGGGACUCGGCGCCCAGGGCCCCUUCCAGGCCCUCCCUCGCCGGGCUCCCCACCAGCUCCGGAGGUGGCGGCGAUGCGGACCGAGUGAGCGGCGGUGGGGCCAGGCCGGGCGCCGGGCGGGAGCCGAGGCCGCGGCGGACUCCGCAAUCCCGCAGCCGGUGACUGGAGCCCACCUCUGCAGAGACAAAGGAACUGCUCUGGUGAACUCCCCCUGAAAGUAAAUGUCCUUGGCUGGCCUCCAGCAUUCCCCUCAUGGGCAUAGCCAUGCAGCCUUCAGAACCUUCCUGAAAGAGAUGCCCAAGGAUUCAGCAAACACGGGGGAAGCAGAGGACACAAGAAGCUUGGAUGUGAAAUAGCACUUCCUUCUGUGUUACAGAAUAAAACAAUAUUUUAAAUUACA
Molecule: long non-coding RNA, 544 nt
Filed under: Homo sapiens (human)
Lineage: Eukaryota; Metazoa; Chordata; Mammalia; Primates; Hominidae
Description: HSALNT0307317
Source: RNAcentral